GGGGACAGCUGUGGGGACACGGCCCAGAUGUUCUGGUCCCAGCAGAAGUGACUGGCGGGGACCAGGAUGCUGGAGGGUCAGCUCGAGGCCAGGGAGCCCAAGGAGGGCACCCACCCAGAGGACCCGUGCCCGGGAGCUGGGGCUGCCAUGGAGAAGACACCUGCAGCAGCCGAGGUCCCCAGGGAGGACAGCAAUGCCGGGGAGAUGCCGGUGAGCUGAUCUCUGUGGGGAUAGAGUUAGUCCCACCAGGCGGGACCCUGAUUCCUGUCCCUGAGGCCUGUCAUUGGACUUCCCUCGCCAGACCCCUGUAGGAAUGCGCCACCCUGGGACGCUGAUGCUAAACUUCCUCUCAGAGGGGCACGUGGCUCUUUUCCCCUCUGCAACCUUCUCUCUUUGUUGAUGGGAGGCAGGACACAGAGUUAAAGAAAAUAUUAACAUUCCAGCUUUUCUCUUCUAAUCCAGGAGAAGGCACCAGACUUUAAAAACUUCAUUAAAGAAAAUCAGGUUGACAUGCCUCACAUCAUCCCAGCAACCACCUUCCUCACUGGACCCUGUUGGACAGUGCUUGCUCUCAUGAAAGUGCCAUGGGUCUCUGUGGCCAGGGCCACACAGUGCAGGGCUGUACCUUUAUCACGAUCCCGCUUAUUCUCAGAGCAAGGCUGGAGGCUCUACGGUCCAAUGAAGGAUGCCACGGGAAGGCUAACAUGUCAGGUUGAAAAUGCAGUGGCUUC
This is a long non-coding RNA of Homo sapiens (human), 731 nucleotides long. The record is from Ensembl. Lineage: Eukaryota; Metazoa; Chordata; Mammalia; Primates; Hominidae.